This is a non-coding RNA of Arabidopsis suecica, 128 nucleotides long. NCBI's taxonomy places the organism in Eukaryota, Viridiplantae, Streptophyta, Magnoliopsida, Brassicales, Brassicaceae. The record is from the annotation of a GenBank genome assembly.
UUAACCUAUUUAACAAUUCAACCCAUCAAAUUAAAUGAGUUAUAGGUUGACCAACCCAUUUAACAAAAUGGGUUAAAUGGGUUGGUCAACCUAUAACUCAUUUAACCUAAACUCAUUUGAUUAUGAAU